RNAcentral lists this long non-coding RNA (1574 nucleotides) under Homo sapiens (human). RNAcentral describes it as "HSALNT0352501". Lineage: Eukaryota; Metazoa; Chordata; Mammalia; Primates; Hominidae. The record is from RNAcentral.
GCGCAUGCGCGAGGCCCGAGCCGCCGCUUUGGUCACAGUGACCGCCACCGUCGCCGGGGGAUGGGUCCCUGAGACUUGGCGAAGUAGGAGCCCUGUGUGAUCGUGCGUCAGAGUCGGGGCUGAGACCAGCCCUGGCCAGGGCAGUUACCAGGACGGUCUCCGGAGGCCGGGAUUCGCGGAGGGUCCACCAGCAGGAAGAAACCCCAGGAGGAAGAAACCUCAGACAGAUCGCCGGGGAGGCAGCGCGGGAUCCCAGCCUCAGGCGUGCGCGGACGGUGUGCGGGUCACAAAGCCUACUGCCUGCUAAUCAGCAAGUGGACCUGUUUCUCUAACAAUGGCCCGAAACUUCACAACAUCAAAGGAGAAAUCAUUGCCAGCAAAAGCAUUUCCGGGUAGUAGGAAAGAAUACAAGUGAAUAACAUUAGUCCAGAAGUUUUAAUAAUAUUCUUUGCUGGUUGAAAUUCAUGUUUAAUAUGAUGUAAAUUACUUGAUAAGCAAAUUAAGAACUAUGCUACUACAGACUCCAAAUAAGACGCAAGAAAAAUGAGAGGAAAUACAUUAAAGGAAAAUCUUAAAAAAACAGCUGCACAGAAGAUAAAUUAUUUUUCCAGGAGUUUUAAACAUAGUUGCUUUUGUUUGUUUGCUUUGCUGUUUUUUCUUAAUAAUUGUUUUAGUAAGCUCAGGCUGCUAUAUAAAAAUAAGAUAGGCGCUGGUCUGAACAAUAGACAUUUAUUUCUUAUAGUUCUUGAACCUGGCAAGUCUGAGGAGGGUCAUCUUCUGGGCUUUCAAAGGGCUGCCUUUUUCCUAUGUACGUACAUAGUGAAUAGAAAGCGUUAGCUCUCUGGUCUCUUCCUGUAAGAGCACUAAUCCCAUCAUGAAGACCCCAUCCUUAUGGGCUCAUCUAAACCUAAUUACUUCCAAAGGUCCCACCUCCAAAUGCUAACACAUUGAGAGUUAAGGCUUCAAUAUAUUAAUUUUGGGGAAACAAGACACAGUCCAUAUCAAAUAUAUAUAUAUAUAAUAUAUAUGUAUAAUAUAUAUGUAUACUAUAUAUGUAUAUAAUAUGUAUGUAUAAUAUAUAUACAAAUAUAUAUAAUAUAUAUUACAUAUACCCAAAUAUAUAUAUUAUAUAUAUUUGUAUAUAUAUUAUAUAUAUUUGUAUAUAUAUUAUAUAUAUUUGUAUAUAUAUUAUGUAUGUUAUGUAAUACAACUAUAUACACUCUAAAAAGGCAGUGGAAUAUAGACAUACUUCAAUUGAUUGUGCUUUGCUUCACUUGGCUUCACAGAUAAUGUGUUUUACACAAAUUGAAGGUUUAUGACCACCCUGCAUCAAGCAACUUUAUUGGCACCACUUUGUAAUAGCAUGUGUUCAUUUGUAUCUCUGUGCCAUAUCUAGGUAAAUCUCACAAUAUUUCAAACUUUUUAACUAUAAUUAUAUUUGAUAUGAUAAUCUGUAACCAGUGACCUUUGGUGUUACUAUUGUAAUUGUUUUGGGCACCAUGAACCACAUCCAUAUAAGACAAUGAAUUUAAUCAAUAAAUGUGUGUGUUCUGACUGCUCCACCAACUUAGACA